AGAGUUUGAUUCUGGCUCAGGAUGAACGCUGGCGGCGUGCUUAACACAUGCAAGUCGAACGGAGUAUGUUAACCGAGACUUUCGGGUCUCACCUGAUAUACUUAGUGGCGGACGGGUGAGUAACGCGUGAGCAACCAACCUUAUGCAGAGGGAUAACAAUUAGAAAUGAUUGCUAAUACCUCAUAAGACCACGCUAUCGCAUGGUAAAGUGGGAAAAAACUCCGGUGGCAUAAGACGGGCUCGCGUUCGAUUAGCUAGAUGGUGGGGUAACGGCCUACCAUGGCGACGAUCGAUAGCCGGACUGAGAGGUCGACCGGCCACAUUGGGACUGAGACACGGCCCAGACUCCUACGGGAGGCAGCAGUGGGGAAUAUUGCACAAUGGGGGAAACCCUGAUGCAAGCGACGCCGCGUGAGUGAAGAAGUAUUUCGGUAUGUAAAGCUCUUUUAGCAGGGAAGAUGAUGACGGUACCUGCAGAAAAAGCCCCGGCUAAAUACGUGCCAGCCGCUGC
Molecule: ribosomal RNA, 511 nt
Filed under: uncultured bacterium
Lineage: Bacteria
Description: bacterial SSU rRNA
Rfam family: Bacterial small subunit ribosomal RNA
Source: RNAcentral